UGGGGAAUUUUGGACAAUGGGCGAAAGCCUGAUCCAGCAAUGCCGCGUGUGUGAAGAAGGCCUUCGGGUUGUAAAGCACUUUUGUCCGGAAAGAAAUCCUUGGCUCUAAUACAGUCGGGGGAUGACGGUACCGGAAGAAUAAGCACCGGCUAACUACGUGCCAGCAGCCGCGGUAAUACGUAGGGUGCAAGCGUUAAUCGGAAUUACUGGGCGUAAAGCGUGCGCAGGCGGUUUGCUAAGACCGAUGUGAAAUCCCCGGGCUCAACCUGGGAACUGCAUUGGUGACUGGCAGGCUAGAGUAUGGCAGAGGGGGGUAGAAUUCCACGUGUAGCAGUGAAAUGCGUAGAGAUGUGGAGGAAUACCGAUGGCGAAGGCAGCCCCCUGGGCCAAUACUGACGCUCAGUGCACGAAAGCGUGGGGAGCAAACAGGAUUAGAUACCCUGGUAGUCCACGCCCUAAACGAUGUCAACUAGUUGUUGGGGAUUCAUUUCCUUAGUAACGUAGCUAACGCGUGAAGUUGACCGCCUGGGGAGU
RNAcentral lists this ribosomal RNA (534 nucleotides) under uncultured bacterium. Its description in RNAcentral is "partial 16S ribosomal RNA". It matches the Rfam family "Bacterial small subunit ribosomal RNA", at positions 355 to 881 of the family's 1533-position model. The record is from RNAcentral.